GUUAUCAAGUUACAUUAUUGCUAAUCUGCUAUCAAAUUGGUCUAUCUUUUAGUAUAAAAAAUAAAAGGUGUACUAAUUAAUGGUUACUCUCAAGAACUGCUAAUCUUUCCAUGCCUCAUGUUGGUGUUCAAGCUAGACCUCCUAGUCUUGUGAAGCAGCAGCAACCUCCAAUUACAGGUUUGGUUUGAAUUUUGAUUCAGUUUUUAUUUUUGUUAUUAUCAUUUAUUGAUAUAAAUUAAAUUGGAUAAAUAUUGAUGUUUUGAUUUAUAUGUGCAACUACAUUCCUGAAGCACCCACAGACACCUCCAGGUGGUGGUCCUGGAUUGGAAUAUCAAAUGACUGAAUCGGAGCUGAGACAAAUUUGCAGAUUGCUUCAACACUUGAAGGAAGGACUACUACCCAGUACUCGAAUAGGUCAGUUACCAUUUUUUUAUAAAAUUGUAAAUGUGGUGCAAGGGUAGUUCUAAAUAUUUGCAUCUGGUUUCAGGGGUUACUCAAGGAAAAUGCAAAUGGUAGCAAAUACUGGGCAUAUGGAGGUGACUUUGGAGAUACACCAAAUGACUUAAAUUUCUGCUUAAAUGGUCGCAUAUGGCCUGAUCGGACUCCUCAUCCUGCUCUAAAUGAGGUCAAGUAUUGCUAUCAACCAAUUAAAAUUUCGUUCACCAAUGGCGUAAUUAAGAUUACAAACACCAAUUUCUUUCAAACAACAGAAGAUCUAGAGUUUAAUUGGGUGAUUGAAGGUGAUUUUGGUUCUAGAAACGAGACUCAAGAUAUCAUAUUUUGGCAUGGCUAGAAGCUUUGGAGGAAACGAGACUCAAGCAAAAGUAAAC
This is a long non-coding RNA of Lactuca sativa (garden lettuce), 830 nucleotides long. RefSeq lists it as uncharacterized. The record is from RefSeq and is a predicted model, not a curated record. Lineage: Eukaryota; Viridiplantae; Streptophyta; Magnoliopsida; Asterales; Asteraceae.